Molecule: ribosomal RNA, 417 nt
Filed under: uncultured bacterium
Lineage: Bacteria
Description: bacterial SSU rRNA
Rfam family: Bacterial small subunit ribosomal RNA
Source: RNAcentral
UUUAAUUCGAUGAUACGCGAGGAACCUUACCUGGGCUAGAAUGCAGUCUGACCGUGGGUGAAAGCUCAUUUUGUAGCAAUACACAGAUUGCAAGGUGCUGCAUGGCUGUCGUCAGCUCGUGCCGUGAGGUGUUGGGUUAAGUCCCGCAACGAGCGCAACCCCCAUCACUAGUUGCCAUCAGGUAACGCUGGGAACUCUAGUGAAACCGCCGUCGUAAGACGCGAGGAAGGAGGGGAUGAUGUCAAGUCAUCAUGGCCUUUAUGCCCAGGGCUACACACGUGCUACAAUGGGGCGUACAAAGGGCUGCCACUUAGCGAUAAGGAGCUAAUCCCAAAAAACGUCUCUCAGUUCAGAUCGCAGUCUGCAACUCGACUGCGUGAAGCUGGAAUCGCUAGUAAUCGUAUAUCAGCAAUGAUA